AAGAAGAAAGAUGGAUUGAGCCACGUGCUCAAGAGACAUAUGAUAGGUAUAUACGAAUAUCUCAGGAAUAUCGUAGUACUCUACCUCUUGAGAGUCAGGACAGACCAUUUACACAAGAAGAAAAUGAGAAUCUUUGGAAACAGAGUGCUGGUGAACC
Solanum tuberosum (potato) is the source of this 157-nucleotide long non-coding RNA. RefSeq lists it as uncharacterized. The transcript is spliced from 2 exons. Lineage: Eukaryota; Viridiplantae; Streptophyta; Magnoliopsida; Solanales; Solanaceae. The record is from RefSeq and is a predicted model, not a curated record.